AGUGAACGCUGGCGGUAGGCCUAACACAUGCAAGUCGAACGGCAGCACAGUAAGAGCUUGCUCUUACGGGUGGCGAGUGGCGGACGGGUGAGGAAUACAUCGGAAUCUACUUUUUCGUGGGGGAUAACGUAGGGAAACCUACGCUAAUACCGCAUACGACCUACGGGUGAAAGCAGGGGAUCUUCGGACCUUGCGCGAUUGAAUGAGCCGAUGUCGGAUUAGCUAGUUGGCGGGGUAAAGGCCCACCAAGGCGACGAUCCGUAGCUGGUCUGAGAGGAUGAUCAGCCACACUGGAACUGAGACACGGUCCAGACUCCUACGGGAGGCAGCAGUGGGGAAUAUUGGACAAUGGGCGCAAGCCUGAUCCAGCCAUACCGCGUGGGUGAAGAAGGCCUUCGGGUUGUAAGGCCCUUUUGUUGGGAAAGAAAAGCAGCAGGUUAAUACCCCGCUGUUCUGACGGUACCCAAAGAAUAAGCACCGGCUAACUUCGUG
RNAcentral lists this ribosomal RNA (492 nucleotides) under uncultured bacterium. Its description in RNAcentral is "partial 16S ribosomal RNA". It matches the Rfam family "Bacterial small subunit ribosomal RNA", at positions 29 to 507 of the family's 1533-position model. The record is from RNAcentral.